Molecule: ribosomal RNA, 497 nt
Filed under: uncultured bacterium
Lineage: Bacteria
Description: partial 16S ribosomal RNA
Rfam family: Bacterial small subunit ribosomal RNA
Source: RNAcentral
GAUGAACGCUGGCGGCGUGCCUAAUACAUGCAAGUCGAGCGAACGGACGAGAAGCUUGCUUCUCUGAUGUUAGCGGCGGACGGGUGAGUAACACGUGGAUAACCUACCUAUAAGACUGGGAUAACUUCGGGAAACCGGAGCUAAUACCGGAUAAUAUUUUGAACCGCAUGGUUCAAAAGUGAAAGGCGGUCUUGCUGUCACUUAUAGAUGGAUCCGCGCUGCAUUAGCUAGUUGGUAAGGUAACGGCUUACCAAGGCAACGAUGCAUAGCCGACCUGAGAGGGUGAUCGGCCACACUGGAACUGAGACACGGUCCAGACUCUUACGGGAGGCAGCAGUAGGGAAUCUUCCGCAAUGGGCGAAAGCCUGACGGAGCAACGCCGCGUGAGUGAUGAAGGUCUUCGGAUCGUAAAACUCUGUUAUUAGGGAAGAACAUAUGUGUAAGUAACUGUGCACAUCUUGACGGUACCUAAUAAGAAAGCCACGGCUAACUACGUG